Molecule: long non-coding RNA, 488 nt
Organism: Thalassophryne amazonica
Lineage: Eukaryota; Metazoa; Chordata; Actinopteri; Batrachoidiformes; Batrachoididae
Exons: 2
Source: RefSeq, a predicted model, not a curated record
GCUUAUCCUUGUUCCUACACCACUCCCAGACACACUUCCUAUCAACUACAAAAACCUGAGCAGCAGGAUGGUUCCCCUUCUCUUCCACUUCUUUCACAACUUCUAGCUUGAACGCUGCCAAAUAAACAUUCAUUUAGAGUCUGCACUGCUUCUCUUGCAUGCAGUACACAUGUCUAUAUUUUGCCAACUCCACCUUGCAUUCAACUGCAAACAUUUGCAUGCAGUACACAUGUCUAUACUAUGCCAACUCCACCUUGCAUUCAACUGCAAGCAUUUGUACGCAAACCAUCGUUAAUAAAUGUCCCCCUUAUCGAAAAUUUCACACACCCGGGGCAUUUAAUAGAGUAAAUACGGUAAUCUAACACUUGUACCUAAGCUUAGACUGAAAGCUGGAAUGAUAAAAGACCAUGAUGACAUGGCAACAAAAGAAAUACAAAUGAAACAGCAUUCAAUCUAUGGAAUGUAGGCUGAACUCAAGCUUGUGAGAA